UGGGUCGGUGCUAUUAUGGCCC
RNAcentral lists this microRNA (22 nucleotides) under Gallus gallus (chicken). RNAcentral describes it as "microRNA Ros-gga". Lineage: Eukaryota; Metazoa; Chordata; Aves; Galliformes; Phasianidae. The record is from RNAcentral.